RNAcentral lists this ribosomal RNA (88 nucleotides) under Enterococcus faecium. Lineage: Bacteria; Bacillati; Bacillota; Bacilli; Lactobacillales; Enterococcaceae. The record is from RNAcentral.
UGUGGUGGCGAUAGCGAGAAGGAUACACCUGUAACCAUGCCGAACACAGAAGUUAAGCUUCUUAGCGCCGAUUGUAGUGAGGGGUUGC